RNAcentral lists this ribosomal RNA (198 nucleotides) under Halorubrum sodomense. Lineage: Archaea; Methanobacteriati; Methanobacteriota; Halobacteria; Halobacteriales; Haloferacaceae. The record is from RNAcentral.
AACCAGACCGACACAGGCGUCCCUCGCUCGAGAGCGCGACGAGAGAGGGUUUCGGUUCGAGUCCGAGAGUCGGCGUAAAGGCGGCCAAAGCGGUGGGGGAACACCCGUACCCAUUCCGAACACGGAAGUUAAGCCCACCAGCGUAUCGUGAAGUACUGGAGUGAGCGAUCCUCUGGGAACCACGAGUCGCCGCCUGCC